UUCGCCCUUUUCCGGUUGAUCCUGCCGGACCUGACUGCUAUCGGAUUGAUACUAAGCCAUGCGAGUCAUUGUAGCAAUACAAGGCAGACGGCUCAGUAACGCGUAGUCAACCUAACCUAUGGACGGGAAUAACCUCGGGAAACUGAGAAUAAUGCCCGAUAGAACACUAUACCUGGAAUGGUUUGUGUUCCAAAUGAUUUAUCGCCGUAGGAUGGGACUGCGGCCUAUCAGUUUGUUGGUGAGGUAAUGGCCCACCAAGACUAUUACAGGUACGGGCUCUGAGAGGAGUAGCCCGGAGAUGGGUACUGAGACACGGACCCAGGCCCUAUGGGGCGCAGCAGGCGAGAAAACUUUGCAAUGUGCGAAAGCACGACAAGGUUAAUCCGAGUGAUUUGUGCUAAACGAAUCUUUUGUUAGUCCUAGAACCACUAACGAAUAAGGGGUGGUCAAGUUCUGGUGUCAGCCGCCGCGGUAAAACCAGCACCUCAAGUGGUCAGGAUGAUUAUUGGGCCUAAAGCAUCCGUAGCCGGCUCUGUAAGUUUUCGGUUAAAUCUGUACGCUUAACGUACAGGCUGCCGGGAAUACUGCAGAGCUAGGGAGUGGGAGAGGUAGACGGUACUCGGUAGGAAGGGGUAAAAUCCUUUGAUCUAUUGAUGACCACCUGUGGCGAAGGCGGUCUACCAGAACACGUCCGACGGUGAGGGAUGAAAGCUGGGGGAGCAAACCGGAUUAGAUACCCGGGUAGUCCCAGCUGUAAACUAUGCAAACU
RNAcentral lists this ribosomal RNA (769 nucleotides) under uncultured archaeon. RNAcentral describes it as "bacterial SSU rRNA". It matches the Rfam family "Archaeal small subunit ribosomal RNA", at positions 1 to 768 of the family's 1478-position model. The record is from RNAcentral.